Molecule: long non-coding RNA, 270 nt
Organism: Oncorhynchus gorbuscha (pink salmon)
Lineage: Eukaryota; Metazoa; Chordata; Actinopteri; Salmoniformes; Salmonidae
Exons: 3
Source: RefSeq, a predicted model, not a curated record
UCAAGACAAAGACCAGGUGUACCUGUAUGUGAAGCGUAACUGUAUGAUAGUAGACACUACUAUGUGUGAGCCCCACUAUAACCUGGUGUUGGAAACGAGGGUGUUUGAGAGACGCAGAUACACACUGAGCACCCUGACAGACGUAGAUAACUACUGGUUUGACCUGAUGUGUGUCUGCCUCAACACACCACUUGGCGUGAUCAGGAAGGAGCGUCCGAAGAGAAGCUCUGCCUCCAAAUCCCAGGAGGGGUCAGUCGGGGUUCCGUGGAA